UUGAGUAACGUAAGGGGAGUGAGAGACUCCCCCGCCGAAAGACCAAGGGUUCCUGCUUAAAGCUAAUCUGAGCAGGGUUAGCCGGACCCUAAGACGAGGCAGAAAUGCGUAGUCGAUGGGAAUCACGUUAAUAUUCGUGAGCCUGAAGGUAGUGACGGAUCAUCAAUGUUGUUCAACCUUAUUGGAUUGGUUGGGCUGCUGCGUGGUUCCAGGAAAUAGCUCCUUCUUAUAGUCCGUACCCGAAACCGACACUGGUGGUCUGGUAGAGUAUACCAAGGCGCUUGAGAGAACUAUGCUGAAGGAACUCGGCAAAUUGCACGCGUAACUUCGGAAGAAGCGUGACCCAUAUGCACGCAAGUGUAUGUGGGUGGCACAGACCAGGGGGUAGCGACUGUUUAUCAAAAACACAGGGCUCUGCGAAGUCGCAAGACGACGUAUAGGGUCUGACGCCUGCCCGGUGCUGGAAGGUUAAAGGGAGAGGUGCAAGCUUUGAACUGAAGCCCCAGUAAACGGCGGCCGUAACAAUAACGGUCCUAAGGUAGCGAAAUUCCUUGUCGGGUAAGUUCCGACCUGCACGAAUGGCGUAACGACUUCCCCGCUGUCUCCAGCAUAGACUCAGUGAAAUUGAAUUCCCCGUGAAGAUGCGGGGUUCCUGCGGUUAGACGGAAAGACCCCAUGCACCUAUACUAUAGCUUUACAUUGGCAUUCGUAGUGGCAUGUGUAGGAUAGGUGGUAGGCUUUGAAGCAGGGACGCCAGUUUCUGUGGAGCCACCCUUGAAAUACCACCCUUAUCUCUAUGGAUGUCUAACCGCGGCCCCUUAUCGGGGUCCGGGACAAUGUAUGGUGGGUAGUUUGACUGGGGCGGUCGCCUCCUAAAGAGUAACGGAGGCGCGCGAUGGUGGGCUCAGAACGGUCGGAAAUCGUUCGCUGAGUGCAAUGGCAUAAGCCUGCCUGACUGCGAGACUGACAAGUCGAGCAGAGACGAAAGUCGGUCAUAGUGAUCCGGUGGUCCCGCGUGGAAGGGCCAUCGCUCAACGGAUAAAAGGUACGCCGGGGAUAACAGGCUGAUGACCCCCAAGAGUCCAUAUCGACGGGGUUGUUUGGCACCUCGAUGUCGACUCAUCGCAUCCUGGGGCUGGAGCAGGUCCCAAGGGUAUGGCUGUUCGCCAUUUAAAGCGGUACGUGAGUUGGGUUCAGAACGUCGUGAGACAGUUCGGUCCCUAUCUGCCGUGGGUGUAGGAAUAUUGAAAGGAUCUGUCCCUAGUACGAGAGGACCGGGAUGGACGUAUCUCUGGUGGACCUGUUGUGGCGCCAGCCGCAUAGCAGGGUAGCUAUAUACGGACGGGAUAACCGCUGAAGGCAUCUAAGCGGGAAACCCACCUUAAAACGAGUAUUCCCUGAGAGCCGUGGAAGACGACCACGUUGAUAGGCCGGGUGUGGAAGUGCGGCAACGCAUGAAGCUUACCGGUACUAAUAGCUU
This 1480-nucleotide ribosomal RNA is filed under the name metagenome. RNAcentral's name for it is "bacterial LSU rRNA". It matches the Rfam family "Bacterial large subunit ribosomal RNA", at positions 1302 to 2910 of the family's 2925-position model. The record is from RNAcentral.